This 301-nucleotide ribosomal RNA is filed under the name uncultured bacterium. Its description in RNAcentral is "partial 16S ribosomal RNA". It matches the Rfam family "Bacterial small subunit ribosomal RNA", at positions 509 to 808 of the family's 1533-position model. The record is from RNAcentral.
CAGUCGCGCGGUAAUACGUAGGUGGCAAGCGUUGUCCGGAAUUAUUGGGCGUAAAGGGCUCGCAGGCGGUUUCUUAAGUCUGAUGUGAAAGCCCCCGGCUCAACCGGGGAGGGUCAUUGGAAACUGGGAAACUUGAUUGCAGAAGAGGAGAGUGGAAUUCCACGUGUAGCGGUGAAAUGCGUAGAGAUGUGGAGGAACACCAGUGGCGAAGGCGACUCUCUGGUCUGUAACUGACGCUGAGGAGCGAAAGCGUGGGGAGCGAACAGGAUUAGAUACCCCAGUAGUCCCUGUCUCUUAUACA